UACAGAGGGGGCAAGCGUUAUUCGGAAUUAUUGGGCGUAAAGGGCGCGUAGGCGGCGAUUCAAGUGACGGGUGAAAUCCCUCGGCUUAACCGAGGAACUGCCUGUCAGACUGGAUUGCUUGAGGCCGGGAGAGGCGAGUGGAAUUCCCAGUGUAGCGGUGAAAUGCGUAGAUAUUCGCAAGAACACCAGUGGCGAAGGCGGCUCACUGGCCCGGUACUGACGCUGAGGUGCGAAAGCGUGGGGAGCAAACAGG
This 253-nucleotide ribosomal RNA is filed under the name uncultured bacterium. RNAcentral describes it as "partial 16S ribosomal RNA". It matches the Rfam family "Bacterial small subunit ribosomal RNA", at positions 524 to 776 of the family's 1533-position model. The record is from RNAcentral.